AGAUUCCUACGGGGCGCAGCAGUGGGGAAUAUUGCACAAUGGGGGGAACCCUGAUGCAGCGACGCCGCGUGGGCGAUGGAGUGCUUCGGCAUGUAAAGCCCUAUCAGCAGGGAAGAAAAUGACGGUACCUGACUAAGAAGCCCCGGCUAAAUACGUGCCAGCAGCCGCGGUAAUACGUAUGGGGCAAGCGUUAUCCGGAUCUACUGGGUGUAAAGGGCGCGGAGGCGGCCUGGCAAGCCUGAUGUGAAAUACCGGGGCCCAACCCCGGGGC
This 271-nucleotide ribosomal RNA is filed under the name uncultured bacterium. RNAcentral's name for it is "partial 16S ribosomal RNA". It matches the Rfam family "Bacterial small subunit ribosomal RNA", at positions 333 to 621 of the family's 1533-position model. The record is from RNAcentral.